RNAcentral lists this long non-coding RNA (1233 nucleotides) under Medicago truncatula (barrel medic). RNAcentral's name for it is "long non-coding RNA (MTRU_LNC005726)". Lineage: Eukaryota; Viridiplantae; Streptophyta; Magnoliopsida; Fabales; Fabaceae. The record is from RNAcentral.
UUCAUGCGAAGUUCCAGAAGCCUGUGCUGAGUUAGUUGUCAAUGAUUUCUCUCGUUGUGCUAUAUGAUAUCUGAUUUGCGUUUACCUUGAUCAUUGUUUAGUCACACUGAAGCUUAGAAAAGAGAGACAGGUAGUAAACAAACAAGUAAAGAUUGUUGUUUCUGCAUUGCUUCCUAAAUUUUGAUGUGAUCUAAAAUGUUUAUUAUUGGAAAAGAUAGGGGCAUCAGACACCUGUGUGGCUGCAAAUUGACUGGACUGGCUACAUAGGUCAUAAUACUGACCGGAUAUCUUUUAAAUACUUUACUAAAUGCUCCUCCGUUUUAUUAACGAGACCGUUUCUUUUUUAAGACCAAUUUCUUCUGAUUUAGCAAGGAUUAACCUCCAAGAAGAUUGGUUAAGCUGAUUAAGCAGAUUCAUGAAAUCACAAUCACUGCUAUAAAAGGACCUAAUGAGUAAGAAUCCUCUCCAUUUCUCAAAAGUCCCUUCAAACUUCUGGAUGUCUUUAUCUUUUCAAAUGGACUAAAUGGAGAGGAUCUUAAUUCCUAUAAAAGAUAAUUUUAUUCUCGUCUCUGAUGGACGAGUAAGGAUCCAUGUCAUUUACUAAAAAUAAAUGGAGAAUCUCAUUUAGUGAGAGAUAGAUACAAAAAAGUAUAUAAUGGGUCCUAUCACUAAGGGAGUCAUACCACUGUUAAUUAUUUAUAUAUUUUUUUAAACUUCAUUGUGUUUUUGUCUCUCCAAAUGAAAGAAAAAGAGAAGUUACUAAAUGGAGAAGAUAUUAACCGCUGAUGGACCAUUCACCAUGUCACAUCAUUAAUCAAUGAAAUUUUGUUUUUAUCCCUAUAACCUGUUUUCCAGUCAACAAAACUGCAAGUAUUGUUUUCUUUAAAUCUUGUGGAAUAGAAACAGAAAAGCAUGCUUACCACCACAAUCCUUGAGGGAUCAUGCCUUGAAGAAUUUGCUGGGAGAAAGCAAUCACUUUAGUAGGAGUCAAAACCAUCAACAAAUUGUUAAGCAUUUUCUCUUGAAAAAAGAGUUCCAAUUGGAAACAAAUUCUAAGAAAUUAAGUUAUCAUAAGUUGACUGAACCACAUAAGAACCAGAUUAUGGAAGCUCCAGCUCCACUGAUCUUUAUAUCUGAAACUAAGCACAACUAUAAACUACACUGCACACAAUUAUAAGAGCUCACCAAGGCAUCCAAAAUGGUGGAUUCUUAAAAUGUGUUGCAAACUUGCAU